CCUACGGGGGGCUGCAGUGGGGAAUAUUGGACAAUGGGGGCAACCCUGAUCCAGCCAUGCCGCGUGUGUGAAGAAGGCCCUCAGGGUUGUAAAGCACUUUCAGUGAGGAAGAACGCCUGGUGGUUAAUACCCAUCAGGAAAGACAUCACUCACAGAAGAAGCACCGGCUAACUCCGUGCCAGCAGCCGCGGUAAUACGGAGGGUGCGAGCGUUAAUCGGAAUUACUGGGCGUAAAGCGCGCGUAGGUGGCUUGAUAAGCCGGUUGUGAAAGCCCCGGCUCAAACUGGGAACGGCAUCCGGAACUGUCAAGCUAGAGUGCAGGAGAGGAAGGUAGAAUUCCCGGUGUAGCGGUGAAAUGCGUAGAGAUCGGGAGGAAUACCAGUGGCGAAGGCGGCCUUCUGGACUGACACUGACACUGAGGUGCGAAAGCGUGGGUAGCAAACAGGAUUAGAUACCCCUGUAGUC
This 465-nucleotide ribosomal RNA is filed under the name Vreelandella stevensii. RNAcentral's name for it is "partial 16S ribosomal RNA". It matches the Rfam family "Bacterial small subunit ribosomal RNA", at positions 338 to 795 of the family's 1533-position model. The record is from RNAcentral. Lineage: Bacteria; Pseudomonadati; Pseudomonadota; Gammaproteobacteria; Oceanospirillales; Halomonadaceae.